GGGGAAGUGGCGGAAUUGGCAGACGCGCUAGUCUUAGGAACUAGUGCCCGAGAGGGCGUGUGGGUUCGAGUCCCACCUUUCCCA
This 84-nucleotide transfer RNA is filed under the name Chloroflexota bacterium. Its description in RNAcentral is "tRNA-Leu". It matches the Rfam family "tRNA". From Rfam's summary of the family: Transfer RNA (tRNA) molecules are approximately 80 nucleotides in length. Their secondary structure includes four short double-helical elements and three loops (D, anti-codon, and T loops). The record is from RNAcentral. Lineage: Bacteria; Bacillati; Chloroflexota.